This 734-nucleotide ribosomal RNA is filed under the name Vittaforma corneae. Its description in RNAcentral is "SSU rRNA". It matches the Rfam family "Microsporidia small subunit ribosomal RNA", at positions 392 to 1164 of the family's 1311-position model. Lineage: Eukaryota; Fungi; Microsporidia; Nosematidae. The record is from RNAcentral.
GCCAGCAGCCGCGGUAAUACCGACUCCAAGAGUGUGUAUGAGAGAUGCUGCAGUUAAAAAGUCCGUAGUCAUAGAAGGGCAAAGAGAGAUGCGAGGUCUCACAGUGCGAUGAUGGAGGAGCCGAUGGGGAACAUAGUAUACCAGGGCGAGAGAUGAAAUGCCAAGACCCCUGGUGGACUGAGCGAGGCGAAGGCGAUGUUCUUGUAGGCAUUCGGUGAUCAAGGACGAAGGCUGGAGUAUCGAAAGUGAUUAGAUACCGCAGUAGUUCCAGCAGUAAAAGAUGCCGACAUGCUCAUUGGACACAGUGGGCAGGGAGAAAUCUUAGAGUUCGGGCUCUGGGGAUAGUAUGCUCGCAAGGGUGAAAAUUAAAGAAAUUGACGGAGCUACACCACAAGGAGUGGAUUGUGCGGCUUAAUUUGACUCAACGCGAGGAAACUUACCAGGGCCAAGUAUUGUGUAGAAACGAGCAAUACAGGAGUGGUGCAUGGUCGUUGGAAAUUGAUGGGAUGACUUUGACCUUAAAUGGUUGAAUGAGUGAGAUCUUUUGGACAUGUUCCGCACGGAACAGGAAGGAAAAGGCUAUAACAGAUCCGAGAUGCCCUCAGAUGCCCUGGGCUGCACGCGCAAUACAAUAGCAGGUAGAGAGAGAGACAGGAAGGUGCUCAGAUGGACUAUGUGCUGUAAGGCACAUACGAAAGAGGAAUUCCUAGUAAGUGUGUAUCAACAAUGGAUAU